Molecule: transfer RNA, 62 nt
Filed under: Leptotrombidium deliense
Lineage: Eukaryota; Metazoa; Arthropoda; Arachnida; Trombidiformes; Trombiculidae
Description: tRNA-Asp
Source: RNAcentral
ACUUAAAAAGUUUUAUUAAACGUUAAACUGUCAGUUUAAAAUAGCUUUAAAAGCUUUAAGUA